Molecule: ribosomal RNA, 356 nt
Filed under: Staphylococcus aureus
Lineage: Bacteria; Bacillati; Bacillota; Bacilli; Caryophanales; Staphylococcaceae
Description: bacterial SSU rRNA
Rfam family: Bacterial small subunit ribosomal RNA
Source: RNAcentral
CGGACGGGUGAGUAACACGUGGAUAACCUACCUAUAAGACUGGGAUAACUUCGGGAAACCGGAGCUAAUACCGGAUAAUAUUUUGAACCGCAUGGUUCAAAAGUGAAAGACGGUCUUGCUGUCACUUAUAGAUGGAUCCGCGCUGCAUUAGCUAGUUGGUAAGGUAACGGCUUACCAAGGCAACGAUGCAUAGCCGACCUGAGAGGGUGAUCGGCCACACUGGAACUGAGACACGGUCCAGACUCCUACGGGAGGCAGCAGUAGGGAAUCUUCCGCAAUGGGCGAAAGCCUGACGGAGCAACGCCGCGUGAGUGAUGAAGGUCUUCGGAUCGUAAAACUCUGUUAUUAGGGAAGAA